GCCCACGGUACCUUUUUAAAGGUAUCUGACAGUAUCUGAUUUGAAAACGCCGUAACAUUUUAAAUAACGCGCCAAAUCUAAUUACUGUUUUUUAUCCGGCUUCUGGAAAGUAUGUUUUUGUCUAUGGUUAAGCAAUAGUGCCAAUAGAAAAAUAAAAUAUAUGUAAUUUCCGGCGAAAAGUCUGGCCAUCUCGACUGACUAGAGGACGUGGUAACCCAAUGAGAGAUGAGCAAAUUUGGAGCAAAUAGAUGAAGCUUAAAUCAGUCAGAUAUAGAAAAGUAUGAACUAUUUGGAGAUGAGGAUUACAACAUAAACCAAAACCAAGAAAGCUCUUCCAGUUCUGAAGAAUCUGAAAAUAAUAGUUUUUUUAUUAAAAACCAACUCUUAUUUGCAAAAUUAAGUAUUUAAAAGUUCUAUAGAAAUAUAUCAAUUUACCUACUAUCA
Long non-coding RNA from Colias croceus (clouded yellow), 444 nucleotides. RefSeq lists it as uncharacterized. Lineage: Eukaryota; Metazoa; Arthropoda; Insecta; Lepidoptera; Pieridae. The transcript has 2 exons. The record is from RefSeq and is a predicted model, not a curated record.